This is a long non-coding RNA of Amphimedon queenslandica, 165 nucleotides long. RefSeq lists it as uncharacterized. The transcript is spliced from 3 exons. The record is from RefSeq and is a predicted model, not a curated record. NCBI's taxonomy places the organism in Eukaryota, Metazoa, Porifera, Demospongiae, Haplosclerida, Niphatidae.
UAUGGCAGGAGAGAAUAGCUAUCUUGGAGAAGCUGAGGAGUAUAUGAAAGCUCUUUUUCACAAAGCUAAUGAAAAGGAGAAUUUGUGUAAAAGUCAUGAAACACACCUCUCUGAGCAAAAAAAGGAGAUUAAGCAACUCACUCAGAAGCUAAAAGAACUUGAAGA